UGGGGAAUUUUGGACAAUGGGCGCAAGCCUGAUCCAGCAAUGCCGCGUGAGUGAAGAAGGCCUUCGGGUUGUAAAGCUCUUUUGUCAGGGAAGAAAGGCGCCGGCCAAUACCCGGCGCCGAUGACGGUACCUGAAGAAUAAGCACCGGCUAACUACGUGCCAGCAGCCGCGGUAAUACGUAGGGUGCAAGCGUUAAUCGGAAUUACUGGGCGUAAAGCGUGCGCAGGGCGGUUGGGCAAGACAGAUGUGAAAUCCCCGGGCUCAACCUGGGAAUGGCAUUUGUGACUGUCCGGCUAGAGUGUGUCAGAGGGGGGUAGAAUUCCACGUGUAGCAGUGAAAUGCGUAGAGAUGUGGAGGAAUACCGAUGGCGAAGGCAGCCCCCUGGGAUAACACUGACGCUCAUGCACGAAAGCGUGGGGAGCAAACAGGAUUAGAUACCCUGGUAGUCCACGCCCUAAACGAUGUCUACUAGUUGUCGGGUCUUAAUUGACUUGGUAACGCAGCUAACGC
Molecule: ribosomal RNA, 510 nt
Filed under: uncultured bacterium
Lineage: Bacteria
Description: bacterial SSU rRNA
Rfam family: Bacterial small subunit ribosomal RNA
Source: RNAcentral